UAGGGAAUAUUAGAAAUGGACGAAAGUCUGAUCUAGCAACACCGCGUGUGCGAAGAAGGCCUUCGGGUCGUAAAGCACUUUUUGGAAGGAAUAGGAAGGAAUGUACUUCCAGAAUAAGUCUCGGCUAACUACGUGCCAGCAGCCGCGGUAACACGUAGGAGGCAAACGUUAUCCGGAUUUACUGGGCGUAAAGCGCGUGUAGGUGGUACUGUAAGUAGGGCGUGAAAGCUCCUGGCUCAACUGGGAGAGGCCGUUCUAAACUACAGAACUAGAGGAUGGUAGAGGGAGGUGGAAUUCCAGGUGUAGCGGUGGAAUGCGCAGAUAUCUGGAGUAACACCGGUGGCGAAGGCGGCCUCCUGGACCAUUCCCGACACUCAGACGCGAAAGCUAGGGU
RNAcentral lists this ribosomal RNA (394 nucleotides) under uncultured bacterium. RNAcentral's name for it is "bacterial SSU rRNA". It matches the Rfam family "Bacterial small subunit ribosomal RNA", at positions 355 to 766 of the family's 1533-position model. The record is from RNAcentral.